AAUAUUGCACAAUGGGGGAAACCCUGAUGCAGCGACGCCGCGUGAGCGAAGAAGGCCUNCGGGUCNUNAAGCUCUGUCCUAAGGGNAGAAACGGACGGUACAUUAGGAGGAAGACCCGGCUAACUACAUGCCACCAGCCGCGGUAAUACGUAGGGGGCGAGCGUUAUCCGGAAUUAUUGGGCGUAAAGGGUGCGUAGGCGGCCUUUUAAGUACGAUGUGAAAGGCUACGGCUUAACCGUAGUUAGCAUUUGAAACUAAAAGGCUUGAGUGCAGGAGAGGAGAGUAGAAUUCCUAGUGUAGCGGUGAAAUGCGUAGAUAUUAGGAGGAACACCAGUGGCGAAGGCGACUCUCUGGACUGCAACUGACGCUGAGGCACGAAAGCGUGGGGAGCGAACAG
Molecule: ribosomal RNA, 397 nt
Filed under: uncultured bacterium
Lineage: Bacteria
Description: partial 16S ribosomal RNA
Rfam family: Bacterial small subunit ribosomal RNA
Source: RNAcentral